This 75-nucleotide microRNA precursor is filed under the name Pan troglodytes (chimpanzee). RNAcentral describes it as "miRNA (ENSPTRG00000052740.1)". The record is from RNAcentral. Lineage: Eukaryota; Metazoa; Chordata; Mammalia; Primates; Hominidae.
UCUGCUCUGAGAGAGCUCGAUGGCAGGUGCCUCUCCGUGUUGCGAAACCCUCCCUACGCUGCUCUCUCUACUCCA